This 112-nucleotide ribosomal RNA is filed under the name Cupriavidus taiwanensis. The record is from RNAcentral. Lineage: Bacteria; Pseudomonadati; Pseudomonadota; Betaproteobacteria; Burkholderiales; Burkholderiaceae.
CGAUCGCCACGGUGCUGGCAGNCACCCCUUCCCAUCCCGAACAGGUCCGUGAAACGACUCCGCGCCGAUGAUAGUGCGGAUUACCCGUGUGAAAGUAGGUCAUCGCCAGGCU